This 78-nucleotide transfer RNA is filed under the name Pythium insidiosum. RNAcentral's name for it is "tRNA-Gln". The record is from RNAcentral. Lineage: Eukaryota; Oomycota; Peronosporomycetes; Pythiales; Pythiaceae.
GGUCUUAUUGGUGUAAUGGUUGCAACCUCUGGACUCUGGAAUCCAGGCGAUCCGGGUUCACUAUCCCGCGUAGGACCU